This is a long non-coding RNA of Olea europaea var. sylvestris, 973 nucleotides long. RefSeq lists it as uncharacterized. The transcript is spliced from 2 exons. The record is from RefSeq and is a predicted model, not a curated record. Lineage: Eukaryota; Viridiplantae; Streptophyta; Magnoliopsida; Lamiales; Oleaceae.
UUAGAGGCUUUGUAUAUUCUUUGAUGCACUGAAGAAAAAUUUUGACGGGAGAUUCACUAGCCUUCAAUGCAGAUACAGUUUGAAACACUUCCAUUUGAAUCAGAUAUAUUUUGAAUGCAGCUUUUGGUAUAUACCCUUGAGCAUGGCUCACUAAUACUAUUAUAUGCUUUUGAAAAGAUUAGUAGAGCUGUAAUGAUUGGACUCCUGGAUUUUCUUUUGCAUAUUUGAAAAUGCCAAUAGCAUCGAUGUGCUUCAUCCAAUCUCUUGUUUACGCAUCAUGGUAAUAUUGAUUUUGAGGUCACUGGGAUGGUGUCAAUAUCUUACUGUUUUUUUUUGGAUACCAAAUAUAGGGUACUUUCGAAGUAAGAGAGAGCGACAUUGAUUAUUACAUUAUGGGUGUUUGAUAUGAACGAUUUAGUGGAUGAUAAGUUAGUUUGUUGUGCCAGUUGUUUUAGGCAUUUCGAUUUAGAUGACAGCAGUCCUUGCAACAAAUAUGCCCUAGUGUUAGUUUUGACAUAUGAGAGCGUACUAUGCAGGUUUUAGCAGCCCACCGGUAUGGUAUCAAGAGAGUAAUUCUUCCAGAGAGAAACUUGAAGGACUUGGUGGAGGUACCAUCUGCUGUGCUCUCCAGCCUGGAGAUAUUACUGGCAAAACAAAUGGAGGACGUGCUGGAACAGGCCUUUGAAGGUGGUUGCCCGUGGAGACAGCAUUCUAAAUUAUGACAAGCAUCUUCUGAUUUACUACUCCCAUUGUCACCCAGAAGCCAGAACGACUACUUGUUUUGGCCAAGAUGAAGCCUGCAGGUGGCUCUUUGGCUUUUUAACAACAUUUAAUUUCGCAAUAUUUCAAAUGUAUCUUGUAACAUUACCUGUUCAUUAUUUGCUGAAAUAAUUACAGCGUCUUUUUCCUUUAUACGAAACCAUGUACCUGUCGUAUUAUUCUUCUCUCUCAGCGAGCUGUAUUUGCAGCAAUA